Mauremys mutica (yellowpond turtle) is the source of this 378-nucleotide long non-coding RNA. RefSeq lists it as uncharacterized. Lineage: Eukaryota; Metazoa; Chordata; Testudines; Geoemydidae. The record is from RefSeq and is a predicted model, not a curated record. The transcript is spliced from 3 exons.
GUCGUAAUGUUGUAAGAGAGAGUUGUUUUGGAUCAGACUGGUGAUAGGAUGGCUGGCUUAUUUGUUGUCCCAUUUGUUAUCAUCUUUCUAUAUUUUUAUGAAUUUUCUCCUGUCUCCUUGUCCUGUGUAAAAGAAGGAAGAGCUUUGAUGCAGCUCCAAUACAAUAAGGCUAACAUCAGAUGGCCUUUUUGAAUGAAGAGCAGAGCCGUGCAAAUCCGCGGAUAUCUGCGGACCAUUUUUGUGGAUUGAGGACCGGAUGCAGAUACAAAUUUUGUAUUCACACAGGGCUCUAGUCAAGAGACUUCUAACUGAGCAGCCUGUGUUAGGAGCCAAAACUGUUCAGUGAACCCACAAAAGCCUUUAAGCCAUUUAUUUUGA